RNAcentral lists this ribosomal RNA (630 nucleotides) under Nocardiopsis sp. YIM 92310. Its description in RNAcentral is "bacterial SSU rRNA". It matches the Rfam family "Bacterial small subunit ribosomal RNA", at positions 51 to 684 of the family's 1533-position model. The record is from RNAcentral. Lineage: Bacteria; Bacillati; Actinomycetota; Actinomycetes; Streptosporangiales; Nocardiopsidaceae.
ACACAUGCAAGUCGAGCGGUAAGGCCCUUCGGGGUACACGAGCGGCGAACGGGUGAGUAACACGUGAGCAACCUGCCCCUGACUCCGGGAUAAGCGGUGGAAACGCCGUCUAAUACCGGAUACGACUCCCCACCUCAUGGUGGGAAGUGGAAAGUUUUUUCGGUUGGGGAUGGGCUCGCGGCCUAUCAGCUUGUUGGUGGGGUAAAGGCCUACCAAGGCGAUUACGGGUAGCCGGCCUGAGAGGGCGACCGGCCACACUGGGACUGAGACACGGCCCAGACUCCUACGGGAGGCAGCAGUGGGGAAUAUUGCGCAAUGGGCGAAAGCCUGACGCAGCGACGCCGCGUGGGGGAUGACGGCCUUCGGGUUGUAAACCUCUUUUACCACCAACGCAGGCUCCCAGUUCUCUGGGGGUUGACGGUAGGUGGGGAAUAAGGACCGGCUAACUACGUGCCAGCAGCCGCGGUAAUACGUAGGGUCCGAGCGUUGUCCGGAAUUAUUGGGCGUAAAGAGCUCGUAGGCGGCGUGUCGCGUCUGCUGUGAAAGACCGGGGCUUAACUCCGGUUCUGCAGUGGAUACGGGCAUGCUAGAGGUAGGUAGGGGAGACUGGAAUUCCUGGUGUAGCGGUGA